This 29-nucleotide small RNA is filed under the name Bombyx mori (domestic silkworm). Its description in RNAcentral is "ovarian small RNA-21426". Lineage: Eukaryota; Metazoa; Arthropoda; Insecta; Lepidoptera; Bombycidae. The record is from RNAcentral.
UACUCUUCCAGGGUGGCGGCUACGCACUU